This 277-nucleotide ribosomal RNA is filed under the name uncultured bacterium. RNAcentral describes it as "partial 16S ribosomal RNA". It matches the Rfam family "Bacterial small subunit ribosomal RNA", at positions 28 to 326 of the family's 1533-position model. The record is from RNAcentral.
GAUAAACGCUGGCGGCGUGCCUAACACAUGCAAGUCGAACGCUCUUGGCAACAAGAGAGUGGCGGACGGGUGAGUAACACGUGGGUCAUCUACCCUUAGGUGAGGAAUACCGGCGAGAAAUCGCCGACAAUACCGCAUACGUUUCGUCAGAAACAAAGUCGCAAGACGCCUGAGGAUGAGCCUGCGCCCGAUUAGUUUGUUGGUGGGGUAAAAGCCUACCAAGACUGCGAUCGGUAGCUGGUCUGAGAGGACGAUCAGCCACACUGGGAUUGAGAAC